UACAGAGGGGGCAAGCGUUGUUCGGAAUUACUGGGCGUAAAGGGUGCGUAGGCGGCUUUGUAAGUCAGUGGUGAAAUACUCUAGCUUAACUAGAGGGGUGCCAUUGAUACUGCGGAGCUUGAGUACAGAUGAGGUAGGCGGAAUUGACGGUGUAGCGGUGAAAUGCAUAGAUAUCGUCAAGAACACCGAUAGCGAAGGCAGCUUACUGGGCUGUAACUGACGCUGAUGCACGAAAGUGUGGGGAUCAAACAGG
RNAcentral lists this ribosomal RNA (253 nucleotides) under uncultured bacterium. RNAcentral describes it as "partial 16S ribosomal RNA". It matches the Rfam family "Bacterial small subunit ribosomal RNA", at positions 524 to 776 of the family's 1533-position model. The record is from RNAcentral.